Molecule: ribosomal RNA, 445 nt
Filed under: uncultured bacterium
Lineage: Bacteria
Description: bacterial SSU rRNA
Rfam family: Bacterial small subunit ribosomal RNA
Source: RNAcentral
CCCAGACUCCUACGGGAGGCAGCAGUGGGGGAUAUUGCACAAUGGGGGAAACCCUGAUGCAGCAACGCCGCGUGAGUGAAGAGGUCAUUCGUGAUGUAAAGCUCUAUCAGCAGGGAAGAAAAUGACGGUUCCUGAGUAAGAAGCCCCGGCUAACUACGUGCCAGCAGCCGCGGUAAUACGUAGGGGGCAAGCGUUAUCCGGAUUUACUGGGUGUAAAGGGAGCGUAGACGGCAGUGCAAGUCUGGAGUGAAAGGCGGGGGCUCAACCCCCGGACUGCUCUGGAAACUGUACGGCUGGAGUGCAGGAGAGGUAAGUGGAAUUCCUAGUGUAGCGGUGAAAUGCGUAGAUAUAAGGAAGAACACCAGUGGCGAAGGCGGAUGACUGGACGGCAACUGACGGUGAGGCGCGAAAGCGUGGGGAGCAAACAGGAUUAGAUCCCCGCGUA